GUAGGGAAUCUUCCACAAUGGGCGAAAGCCUGAUGGAGCAACGCCGCGUGUGUGAUGAAGGGUUUCGGCUCGUAAAACNCUGUUGUAAGAGAAGAAUGACAUUGAGAGUAACUGUUCAAUGUGUGACGGUAUCUUACCAGAAAGGAACGGCUAAAUACGCGCCAG
RNAcentral lists this ribosomal RNA (165 nucleotides) under uncultured bacterium. RNAcentral describes it as "partial 16S rRNA". It matches the Rfam family "Bacterial small subunit ribosomal RNA", at positions 354 to 511 of the family's 1533-position model. The record is from RNAcentral.